CCUUUUGUAUAAUGGGUCAGCGACUUAUAUUCUGUAGCAAGGUUAACCGAAUAGGGGAGCCGAAGGGAAACCGAGUCUUAACUGGGCGUUAAGUUGCAGGGUAUAGACCCGAAACCCGGUGAUCUAGCCAUGGGCAGGUUGAAGGUUGGGUAACACUAACUGGAGGACCGAACCGACUAAUGUUGAAAAAUUAGCGGAUGACUUGUGGCUGGGGGUGAAAGGCCAAUCAAACCGGGAGAUAGCUGGUUCUCCCCGAAAGCUAUUUAGGUAGCGCCUCGUGAAUUCAUCUCCGGGGGUAGAGCACUGUUUCGGCAAGGGGGUCAUCCCGACUUACCAACCCGAUGCAAACUGCGAAUACCGGAGAAUGUUAUCACGGGAGACACACGGCGGGUGCUAACGUCCGUCGUGAAGAGGGAAACAACCCAGACCGCCAGCUAAGGUCCCAAAGUCAUGGUUAAGUGGGAAACGAUGUGGGAAGGCCCAGACAGCCAGGAUGUUGGCUUAGAAGCAGCCAUCAUUUAAAGAAAGCGUAAUAGCUCACUGGUCGAGUCGGCCUGCGCGGAAGAUGUAACGGGGCUAAACCAUGCACCGAAGCUGCGGCAGCGACGCUUAUGCGUUGUUGGGUAGGGGAGCGUUCUGUAAGCCUGUGAAGGUGUGCUGUGAGGCAUGCUGGAGGUAUCAGAAGUGCGAAUGCUGACAUAAGUAACGAUAAAGCGGGUGAAAAGCCCGCUCGCCGGAAGACCAAGGGUUCCUGUCCAACGUUAAUCGGGGCAGGGUGAGUCGACCCCUAAGGCGAGGCCGAAAGGCGUAGUCGAUGGGAAACAGGUUAAUAUUCCUGUACUUGGUGUUACUGCGAAGG
RNAcentral lists this ribosomal RNA (859 nucleotides) under Escherichia coli. RNAcentral's name for it is "partial 23S ribosomal RNA". It matches the Rfam family "Bacterial large subunit ribosomal RNA", at positions 604 to 1462 of the family's 2925-position model. The record is from RNAcentral. Lineage: Bacteria; Pseudomonadati; Pseudomonadota; Gammaproteobacteria; Enterobacterales; Enterobacteriaceae.